CUGGAUGACUAAAUGCACCCCUUACCUCUGUUGCUGUUACCUCCACUGAUAAAGACAGGUGAUUCUGGAUUGAGUUUUAUGGGUGGUCUAAAGGCAUGCGUCUUCACAAGCACUGGGUGACUGGUAGAACCUGAAGAAAUAGUAUAUACUGGACUGGAAUGGUAGUAGCUGACCCAGAGAUAAAUUUUUUGUAUACAAGCAGUUGUUUGCUAAAUGGACUGGCAUGAAACAUUCUACUCAAAUGGGGUCAAAUGAGACCAAUUUUAUUAUCUUUCUU
RNAcentral lists this long non-coding RNA (277 nucleotides) under Pan troglodytes (chimpanzee). Its description in RNAcentral is "lncRNA (ENSPTRG00000053157.1)". Lineage: Eukaryota; Metazoa; Chordata; Mammalia; Primates; Hominidae. The record is from RNAcentral.